This 296-nucleotide ribosomal RNA is filed under the name uncultured bacterium. RNAcentral describes it as "partial 16S ribosomal RNA". It matches the Rfam family "Bacterial small subunit ribosomal RNA", at positions 337 to 631 of the family's 1533-position model. The record is from RNAcentral.
ACCUACGGGAGGCAGCAGUGAGGAAUAUUGGUCAAUGGACGCAAGCCUGAACCAGCCAUGUCGCGUGCAGGAAGACGGUCCUAUGAAUUGUAAACCGCUUUUGUCCGAGGGCAAAAGACGCCACGCGUAUCUGUCUGAGAGUAUCCUAAGAAAAAGCAUCGGCUAACUCCGUGCCAGCAGCCGCGGUAAUACGGAGGAUUCAAGCGUUAUCCGGAUUUAUUGGGUUUAAAGGGUGCGCAGGCGGAAGAUCAAGUCAGCGGUAAAAUUCCGAGGCUCAACCUCGGCGUGCCGUUUGA